AUAAUGAUACUCCCGUCCUUUGAUUCGAAGGGCGGCUCGGAGUGAUCCUCGGAGGGGUGAGAGUCCCGUGA
Molecule: non-coding RNA, 71 nt
Filed under: uncultured Faecousia sp.
Lineage: Bacteria; Bacillati; Bacillota; Clostridia; Eubacteriales; Oscillospiraceae
Description: pemK RNA
Rfam family: pemK RNA
Source: RNAcentral